CAGAGUUAAAUGAUGUCCUCCCGUUAUCAGUGUACAGGGUACAAGGAGAACCUAUGGUGACACUGAGAAGAUUUGUUAUUUGCUAAAUACCUGUCCAUCCUUUUUCCCCAGGUGGCCGUGCAACAGAAAUUAACCAUGAGGGUUACUGUCUGUGAGGGAGACAUACGAAAGAUGACUUUUACAUCAGACAAAGACCAUGGAGCCAACAGACAUCAGGUGCCUUUGUCUUCGGGGACUGCCGGUCAUCUUGGGAGAUGAUCCUUCCGCCUUCUUCAAGACAUGCUUCGACGCAACUGACAAGGACUCAUACAGUCAAACUCCAGUGGGAAUCCUUUGCAUUGAUGAAGAAAAUCCUCAGCUGAACCCAUCGUGUGUUGAUGGAUGAGCUGGCUAACAUUCCUCAGGCCUUCUGUGUCCUUUUUGGACUGAUUUAUGCCCUGCACCUGGACUAUCCCAAGUACAUGAAAAACACCUUCUUUUUGUCCAGCAGGUGAUGCUCAACCUGGGUAAAAGUGAGCUGGCAACCAAAAUUCAGACUCUGAAAAAUCAGCUUGUACUGUAAAACGGGGUUCCAAGUAGUUAUGCUACAGUUCCAGAUAUCAGGUGCAUUUUUAUUUUUGCAUUUCAACAUGUCUGUGCACUGUUUGCACUUUAUGCUGGAUGGCAUUGGCAGAGAUAUCAUGAAAAGAGGUUGAUUAAUAACAAGAUUCUAUUUUUACUCAGUCCUAGUAUUACGUAAAGUAAUCCCAUGCUGUUAGUAUUGUGAACGCAGGGUAUGGUUUUUAAGAGUUUUUGUAAAUACCGGUAACUGUCAUAAAGAGAAAGGUUGAAAACCUAAAAACUUGCAGAGAUUUGUAAAGCAAGGCAUUAUUUUCCUUGACUUCUCAUGUUGUUGUUUGAAGUUAAAACUUCUGAAAUAAAACAGAAUAAGAAUGUAA
Labrus bergylta (ballan wrasse) is the source of this 938-nucleotide long non-coding RNA. RefSeq lists it as uncharacterized. The record is from RefSeq and is a predicted model, not a curated record. Lineage: Eukaryota; Metazoa; Chordata; Actinopteri; Labriformes; Labridae.